Molecule: small nuclear RNA, 164 nt
Filed under: Mercenaria mercenaria
Lineage: Eukaryota; Metazoa; Mollusca; Bivalvia; Venerida; Veneridae
Description: U1 spliceosomal RNA
Rfam family: U1 spliceosomal RNA
About the family: U1 is a small nuclear RNA (snRNA) component of the spliceosome (involved in pre-mRNA splicing). Its 5' end forms complementary base pairs with the 5' splice junction, thus defining the 5' donor site of an intron. There are significant differences in sequence and secondary structure between metazoan and yeast U1 snRNAs, the latter being much longer (568 nucleotides as compared to 164 nucleotides in human).
Source: RNAcentral
AUACUUACCUGGUACAGAGGCCACCGUGAUCAACCAGGCGGUGCCUCCAGGAAGAGGCCCUUCCAUUGCACUUCGGUUGGGCUGAAGCCUGCGAUUACCCCUAAUGUGGGUAACUCGGGUACGCAAUUUAUUAGUGUGGGGGUCUGCGUUCGCGCUAACCCCUG